RNAcentral lists this ribosomal RNA (439 nucleotides) under uncultured bacterium. Its description in RNAcentral is "partial 16S ribosomal RNA". It matches the Rfam family "Bacterial small subunit ribosomal RNA", at positions 338 to 794 of the family's 1533-position model. The record is from RNAcentral.
CCUACGGGAGGCAGCAGUGGGGGAUAUUGCACAAUGGGGGGAACCCUGAUGCAGCGACGCCGCGUGGGUGAAGAAGCGCCUCGGCGCGUAAAGCCCUGUCAGCAGGGAAGAAAAUGACGGUACCUGAAGAAGAAGCCCCGGCUAACUACGUGCCAGCAGCCGCGGUAAUACGUAGGGGGCCAGCGUUAUCCGGAUUUACUGGGUGUAAGGGGGGCGCAGACGGUGAUGCAAGCCAGGAGUGAAAGCCCGGGGCCCAACCCCGGGACUGCUCUUGGAACUGCGUGGCUGGAGUGCAGGAGGGGCAGGCGGAAUUCCUGGUGUAGCGGUGAAAUGCGUAGAUAUCAGGAGGAACACCGGUGGCGAAGGCGGCCUGCUGGACUGCAACUGACGUUGAGGCCCGAAAGCGUGGGGAGCAAACAGGAUUAGAUACCCUUGUAGC